This is a long non-coding RNA of Trachemys scripta elegans, 1813 nucleotides long. RefSeq lists it as uncharacterized. The transcript has 4 exons. The record is from RefSeq and is a predicted model, not a curated record. Lineage: Eukaryota; Metazoa; Chordata; Testudines; Emydidae.
UGCAUCCACACUAGGGGUUGCCAGUAUAACUAUUAUGGUAAAAGAUCUCACCUCUAACCUGACAUAGUUAUACUGCUACAAAAGCUGUGUGCAGAUCAGACCUUACUUUAGCAGGUCUUAAUAACUUGGUAACAAACCUGAGUCUGCAACCAGCCUGAAAAAAGCACCUAAAGGGAGGAGUGCAUUGCCCCAACCAUAUCAGUGGGGCAUAAAUGUUGAAAUCUGUUCUACUGCAGUAUUACCUAAACGCCCUUCUAACCUUAUUACAAACAGAGGAAUGCAGAGGAUUUUGCCACUAAAUUUACGUCAAGCUUGCCUCAGAGUACGUGGAACCUUGCUUACAGGUCUCUAUAUAUGUAUAUGGGAUAUGCUUGUCCUGUAUAAUCAGCAUGAAUAACUAAUGCAUAAAAUCCAAAAUGAACUUGAAAAACUCCACUGAAAUAGGUACACGCUGAAAUCUCCAGUUUAGAAGAGUAUUUAUUCCACCAAUUACUGAGGAAGAAGAGAAAAUAAGUACCAGUAUGUGUCUGAGUUGUACAGUUAACAAUAGAAGUAAUCCACUGUGCCCUUUUAUUACCCCAUGGGACUACAGGUUUCCAAGGAAGAGAAGUAAGAUUGAUGUAUUAUGUUAAAUAGACAGUGUGUGCUGUAACAGCUGGGAGCAAGGUAAGUAAACCCUUGUCUGACUAGCCUUUGGUGGAUUUAAGGUCGAUGCUACUAUGCCUUUGACAAUAGUUGUGUAUUAUUUAACUAACAAUAGAUUCAGCACAAUCCCUCUUGAAACUGAUCCUCCAAUUACAUGUAAUUUAAAAUAAUGAGCCUUUAUAAUCUCUUGCUUCAAUGGGUUUGGGUAUUUAAAGGGACACACUGCAGUCUGGGCACUUCUCUCGUCAAGUAACGCAAGCGCACAGACUGCUGUUAGAAAACAAAUCACUCUUCAACCCUUUCGUCAUGGUUUUAAUUAUUUUAAACUAGAAGAAAUUGGAGUCCACAUUGUUAGCGCACAGAGUGCACAUCUCGUAUUGUCUUGCCUGAGUUUGGAGUGUGUGGUUGGGGUUUUUUUAAGUCUGAAAUACUAACUUUUUGUUGCACUAUAAUUUAAAUAGCUAGAUGAGUGGCCAGCUCAGUAAUCUCAAAGUGCUGUGUCCUAGAGGCAGAAUCUUCAGCUGCCAGGAAAGAGGGUGCGUAUCUCCAAGUACCAAUGCCUGUGAUGAACACCACACUGAAUUAAUGAAACUCUGUCCAGCCUUAUUUCCUGGAGGAGAGUUGGCAGGCAAUGCACAGAUAUGAUGCCCAAAAUUGAAGUCAGUGCUCCAAUUAAGGUCUAACAAUGCUAAAUAGAGUGGAAUAACUACUUCAUUUAAGAAAAUUCUGUCCUACUUCCUGUUCUCUGACUUCCACUUUAGAGAGAGAGAAGAACAGCACAGAUGCCUGAAAAAUAUACCCUUCAUAAAACAACACAGGACAUGAAAAGUAAAAGCAAGUAUCACAAUCAGUUGUACCCAGCAAAAAGGCAGGAUGUAUAGCAGAUGUGUGAGAAAUCCAGGCAAACCAGGAAUGUACAAGCUGCACACAUACCAUGUGAAGGCCAUGACAGAUAGUCACAUUAAGAGAACCACCUCAACCACAAACAAGCUGAGGCAACUGAGCCUGCAAACACAAGUUGUGUAUUUAAAAAACAGAUGGGACCCACAAGUACUAACUGACAGGUCAAAAACAGGAUUGAUUUCUCUUCAUGUUGGAUUAAGGGAAAAUAUCUUAUUUGCAUAAAAUGACCCUGCACUGACAAGACCUGAUUGUUUAGAGCAUAGCA